AUUGAACGCUGGCGGUAUGCUUAACACAUGCAAGUCGAACGAUGAGAAAGGGCUUGCUCUUUCGAUUAGUGGCGGACGGGUGCGUAACGCGUAGGAAUCUACCUAUUAGUGGGGGACAACUUAGGGAAACUUAAGCUAAUACCGCAUACGCCCUACGGGGGAAAGAAGGGGAUCGCAAGACCUUUUGCUAAUAGAUGAGCCUGCGUAGGAUUAGCUAGUUGGUGGGGUAAAAGCUCACCAAGGCGACGAUCCUUAACUGGUUUGAGAGAAUGAUCAGUCACACUGGAACUGAGACACGGUCCAGACUCCUACGGGAGGCAGCAGUGGGGAAUAUUGGACAAUGGGCGAAAGCCUGAUCCAGCAAUACCGCGUGUGUGAAGAAGGCCUUAGGGUUGUAAAGCACUUUCAAUUGGAAGGAAAACCUCGAAGCUAAUACCUUCGAGUUUGACAUUACCUUUAGAAGAAGCACCGGCUAACUCCGUGCCAGCCGCCGCAGUAA
Molecule: ribosomal RNA, 499 nt
Filed under: uncultured bacterium
Lineage: Bacteria
Description: partial 16S ribosomal RNA
Rfam family: Bacterial small subunit ribosomal RNA
Source: RNAcentral